AGCGCGACCUGGUGCUCCUGCGCAGUGACUAGCCAAACGCCAUUUUGAACAGAAGUGUCGUUGUACUUUAAACUAGCGGGCGGCAACGGCGGCUCCUGGGUGCUGAGGAGAGUUGAUGUUGCUAUUGCCCGUCCCGGCUCGUGCCAUAGGGCGCCCAAAAUCCCCACCGGGGCUCAGCAUUGUAGCCUCCCUGGCCGGAGCGGGAAAGGAGACUCUUCAGAAAGAUGAGAGAAGAUUCCAUUAGUCAUUUGGAUAAAAGCCAUGGCAUGCCUGUUUGAAAAAGACAGCAUUUACUCUCCUGAAUCUACUGUGUCUUCUCUCCUAGCAAGCUGCAGCCUUAACAGUAGUAACUCCUACUCAAACAGCUCAAUUCAAUACAAAGACAAAGUAUACAACUCUGCAUCUCAGGCUUUGGAGGCCUAUAUUGAAGAUUUUGACCAAAGUCUUAUGUCUUCAGAAGUAAGCACUGGAAAAAUCUGCGUAGGUCAGAGUACUCCUAAAGAUAAGUCAGCAAAGUAUGGGUCUGUACAAAAAUACGCUUUGGAGGGCUUUAACCAGCAAGGAAAACUCAACUCCAUUGCCUCACCUUUUAUGAGACAAACGGUUUGUGACCCAGACUUGAUUAGUCUCACCACAGAUGAUCUACUAGCAUUUCCAUCAGAUGGAUCACUGCCUUUUAUCCAUAGGAUUCCUUCUGGGUCAGGGCUUCAAAGUGGCAAGUGGAUUAGGAAGUCACUGAAAAAAUCUGCCUUCUGUCCUUAUCAAACGUCUUCAUUUGAUGUUGAAAAAGACUUUGAUUUCCAAGACAAUGGCAAAGCUGUGGAUAAUCGAAAUCAUUACAGAGACAUUGACAAAGAGAAACACAAUGUGUAUAAAUCUCACAAAUAUAAUUCUAUAUUUUCUAAAGAAAAUGCAGGGGAUUGCCUUUUUCAACAACACUCUGAGUCCAUCUCUGUCAAGAAUUAUCCAAGGUGGCUUACUAGCCAUAAGUCUGACUUGAAUGUGUCAGGGAUAAGUAGUAUUCCUGAUUUCAAGUACCCAAUCUGGCUAAAGAGUCAUAACCUUUUAUGUGAUUCAGCUAAUCAAAGUUUUAUUCAAACAUUUAACAUGCAAGAUGAAUUUUCCUCUUCACAAAUGUGUGAAAGUAUGGAAAAAAAACACAUUGUGGAUAAAUUAGACUGCAAUUCUUUUGAACAAAAUAGUUAUCUGGAUCCAGCAGGUGACCGUGAAGUAACAGGAAAUUGCCGAUAUGUCAGACCAAGUGCAGACUUCCAACCUGGCAAUGUUCUCUCAAGACAGUCCAAACAGCCAUUCAGAGAUGACCAGAUUGAGUUGCUUAUCUUGAAGGCAAAGAGAACUUUAGAGUCUUCUGUCGAGAAUUUAUCAAGUGCUUUGAAAAAUGAUGGCAGCCCUUGUACAGUAGAUAUACUGGAAGCAGAAAGAUCCUGGGAAAAUGUUCCAGUUGCUUUCAAAUCUCCAGUGCCUGUAUACUGUGAGGAAGAUGAGACCACUCUACAAUCUCCCAAGGCUAACAUUGUUAAUGAAUUCCUUGAAGACUGUUUAAAUAAUGACAAUCAGGGCGUGUUGAGAAUUGCAGUUGUUGGGAUCCCUUCAGUGCCCUCCGUCUGGCAGUGUCUUCUACUUGCAAGCUGUGCUCUGCUGGAUCCAGUGACCCCUAGUGGCUGCCAGCAGUUCUGCAACCCAUUUCUGUAGAGGAAAAGGAAAUUCUAUACAAAACCCAUUAAUUUCUGCUCAACUUCUGCACGCGCAGCGGCACAGAAUUCUCUCACAAGUCCUUGCCUGAAAUCAUCUGAUCGAUCAGAGGAUCACAAGAUUGUCACCUCAGCUGCAUUGCCCAAUCAUGACCUCAUCUGUCUCAAGGUCUUCUGCCACUGGGAUUGACAGAGGUCUUGCAAUUCUUUGACCAAAAUUUGAGACUGUGGAUGAAGAGACAGAACUUCUACUGUAACUUGCACCUCACAAUUCUUAGGAGUAACAUCGUAUGAAGGGGGAAAAACAAAGUGGCUAAAUUGGAAUCUCUGGGGAAGAAGGUUCCUCCAGAAGCAUCAACCAUCUCAACAUUUGACUCAUAGCUCGGGGUGUUAGACUCGCAGUAGAGGUCUCCCUAUGGGCUGCGGAGCAAACAGAUACCGGACACAGUGUUGGAAAAUACCUUUUCUGGAGGAAACCACCAUGGGCCAGUUGAAGCUUUAAAGCUAAUGUUGUUCAACCUUCAAGCAGUUCAUGAAAGCUUUAACAAGAAUAAAAGUGCUGAACAAAAUGAUGAGUUUAAAAAA
RNA transcript from Mauremys mutica (yellowpond turtle), 2297 nucleotides. It is a transcript of the gene named chromosome 6 C18orf54 homolog, with no coding region annotated. The transcript is spliced from 10 exons. Lineage: Eukaryota; Metazoa; Chordata; Testudines; Geoemydidae. The record is from RefSeq and is a predicted model, not a curated record.